This 496-nucleotide ribosomal RNA is filed under the name uncultured bacterium. Its description in RNAcentral is "partial 16S ribosomal RNA". It matches the Rfam family "Bacterial small subunit ribosomal RNA", at positions 28 to 506 of the family's 1533-position model. The record is from RNAcentral.
GACGAACGCUGGCGGCGUGCCUAAUACAUGCAAGUUGAGCGCUGAAGGUUGGUACUUGUACCAACUGGAUGAGCAGCGAACGGGUGAGUAACGCGUGGGGAAUCUGCCUUUGAGCGGGGGACAACAUUUGGAAACGAAUGCUAAUACCGCAUAAAAACUUUAAACACAAGUUUUAAGUUUGAAAGAUGCAAUUGCAUCACUCAAAGAUGAUCCCGCGUUGUAUUAGCUAGUUGGUGAGGUAAAGGCUCACCAAGGCGAUGAUACAUAGCCGACCUGAGAGGGUGAUCGGCCACAUUGGGACUGAGACACGGCCCAAACUCCUACGGGAGGCAGCAGUAGGGAAUCUUCGGCAAUGGACGAAAGUCUGACCGAGCAACGCCGCGUGAGUGAAGAAGGUUUUCGGAUCGCAAAACUCUGUUGGUAGAGAAGAACGUUGGUGAGAGUGGAAAGCUCAUCAAGUGACGGUAACUACCCAGAAAGGGACGGCUAACUACGU